CAAAGUAGGAGAUGAUUAGAAAAUGUCAUUCAUGUGUUAGAAUGGCCCAGUCAAAGAUUCAGAUCUUUAUUCAAGUCAAGUUUGUUUGUAUUGUACAUUUGAGCUGCAACAAGGCAAUUCAAAAUGCUCCGCAGCAUAAAAACGCCAAAAUAAAACGUCAUAAAAACAUCUAGUCGCCAAUUGAGAAACCAGUGACAAAUGUUUUUUCAAGUGCCAGCAUCAAAAUCAGCAGUACAUGUUCAUGUCCCAAUGGGCAAUUAAUUUUACAGCAUAAAAACACAAGACUAACAAUUAAUAUUUAACUAGCAAGUGUGGCACUUUAUUCCUCUGCCUCUACCACCGGAAGUCAUAGAAACAUAAAAUUUGUUAAUCAUGUGCAAACAAAGUCCAGAAAAGUCUUUAAAAAUGACGUUCAGAGACAAUCUGUCAGAACUUUAGCUACAAAAAUAUUAGUCUCUACAUGAUUACACCUUUAGAGACAUACCCAAACAUUUCAGCUGCUAUUCCUAUGAACGCAGUUUGCCAAGACAAAGAAGAAAAAAGUACACUUUUUCCUUUCUGUUUCAAUUAUGCUCACUUUGCCUUGACCCAUCAUCCGAAAUCCAUUGACGUUUGUGGUCCUUACUUAAGAAAAUUUUUGGAAAAAAAAAAAAAAAAAGCAUUAAGGGGGUGUAAAUAGUUUUGUAAGACUGGGCGGGCGCACAGUUACACCGGUCUUUGCUAAUUACCGCCAAAGUGCGUUCUGAGCCGGGCCUCCAAAUUACACGGCUCCACCACAACAAGGGCGCCUUGCCCAGCAGUCAUUUGUCAGACUAAUUAUUUGUCUUGGGCUCGUAAUUGCUGUGAGAACAGGUAGUCAGGUAAUUGUGUGGUAAGCUGCAAAGUUAAGUGAUGGUUUCUCUCCAUUUCCAGACGAGAUGAAAGGAGUAGGGACUGCUGAGGUGAAAUGCGACGCACCCCCCCAAUCUCCACCCACCCAGUCAGAUACAGGGUCUAAAAAUAUACGGCAUCCAUGAUUCUCAGCUCAGCGAGAGGAAGAGAACGGCGCCUUGACGUUAAGAUCAUGUGCGUGGCACUUUCCAUUAGGCUGGCUACUUCCUGGAUUUAUGUAAAUAAUUGUGUCCCCUGGUGAAUGCCUGAAUAAUAAGCCCAUUAAUCACAAUCCAGAGUGAGUGAAGGCAUGAUACUAUGGAUCUCCAAAGCAGAGCAGUUCAAAUCCGUCUCGUAUCUCCGAGCCGUAUCGCUGCUGAGGUAAUUCAAAGGAGCGUGUCCCCACUUUCCCGCCGCCGUUUUGCAUGUGCGCGGCAAACGCAUACACACACACACACACACACACACACACACACACACUGGACCGCUGUCAUUGGCGAUGAUGUGUGGCUCAGUAACACUGUCACCUAUCAUCACGAUUACUGCAGAGCCCUGUGCCGCUCGUGGUUUUUAAAUGCGCAUCCCAUGAUUCCUCGCAGAGGUUUCGCGGGGCCAGCCGGACACGAUGUCAGGUUGAAUAUUAUAAUGAGCAAAUAAAUAAAUAAACAAAUAACUCAACGAGAAGCAUAAACAGUAGAGUUUUUGGCAUUUGCCCCGAGUCCAAACCGCGGCCCUCCCCGCCGUCGGUGAGACUUGUCUGAUCUGGACAACGGUCACCGGAUUUCCGCUGAGCCGCUUUCCUGACGAGCAAAUCAGUCUCGCCACGCGGCCCGUCUUGUAGUGCGCAGCAUCGCCCAGGGGCCUCCCCGUUCUUUUGUGUCAGGGGAACACACGGGCUCUUGAAAGGGGAUCCAUAACGAUCAGCGACAGCCGGGGCCGAGCGCGGCCAGGCCUCAUGCGGAAAAGGCCACUUCUACAUGAAAGGGUAGAGGCACAACAGAGCCCUCCGUGUCCUCUUACCUUUCCUCUAAUGCGCUCCACAGCACGGUCACGUUUUCUUCAUGCACGUUGGGGCAAAUAAUGUCAGCUCCCUCAUUAAAGGGAUGGUCUGGAUGUUUUUGAAAUGAGGCUUUGUGACGUUAUCAGUAGUAGUUCUUUUAUCCGUUCUGUAAAUAUGCUGUGUUGUCAUGAGUUCGUGGAGAAAUCCUCACUGUGGUGUCAGGCUAAUUAAUGGCUGGUGAGACGCAGGCCUCAGUUUUAACUGAUUUUGCCCAUUGGAAACGUUAACUGAAUGUGUUCAUAUGGUGGGAUACAAACUUUCUGUUCAAAAGUCAAAGUUUUGAGAUAGAGUCAAAAGUUUGGAGGGAUGAACAAAUUCUUAAAUUAGUUUCGAAAAUACAAAAGGCUCUUUAUUAUAAAAAUUGUUUUUUUGGGGGCCCUUAACCAUUCUAAUUUAUGAUUAUAAAGCGUAAUUAGCACUGUUACAGUUAGCAGAAAUUCAAUUUAAUUAACUUCAUUACUUUUAAUGCCUUAACAAACAAGGCCAGAUACACUACACCAGAUAUCAGGAUAAGAAUAUAUUUUCCCCUUUUUUUUUUUGAAAGUAUAAACUGCGCAUUGGUUUUAGAAAAAAAAAAAAAAAAAAAAAACGCCACCAUAUGCAGUGCCAGCAGGGCUCGAUUUCAUUUACAUUAACUACAACAGAUCUCAAAAUAAGCAGAUUGUGAGUACAGUUGGUAUUCAGAGACCAUAGCAAAAUCCACAAAUACUUGAGACCCUUUCUAAAAACACUUAGACUUCCUAUUUUAGUUGUUCAGACACCAAAUACAUACCUUAGUAUGCAUUAAUAUGUAUUAUAGAAACUGUCUUAGCACUGACGCAGAAGCUAAUAUCUGCAGUCUAACUUAGCUCUACUGUUGGGGGACAAAGGAGAUAAAUGGCAUUCUGGGAUCGGCAGCUUUGCUUUUGGCUAGCACUAUUAGCAUCAUGUCAGGUAGGACUGUAUCUACGCAUUUUAGCUUCCUAAGCUACAUUUUCUUUUGAAGAGUUUUGAUAUGCUAUAUGAAAAAUCCACAAAUAAUUUGUUGUUACAUUACACUACGUUUUGUUACGUUACUGUGAAUAGCCAUGGGUCCACUCUGUAGCUAAAGCAAUGCUAACCAAAACAUUCUCCCAGGACAUUUUCAGUUUGUGAAGCAUUUCAGCAUUUCCUCUCAGUCAAACACUUCUUCAGUUCGCUUUGAAGUUUUAUUGAAACAGGACAAGGUGUUCGCUGUGGUUUUGAUUUACAGAGCAGGCUGAAUAUCGUGCCUGGCACCAUCAUUUCCUGUCCGGUGCUUUUCCACACUUGCUGUGUGGUAUAAGAUAUGAAGUCUUUUUAAAUCAAAAGGUUCGAAUUGAAGUGAGAUAAUGAAUCACUGAUGUCCAAAGUCUUUUUUGAUUUCAUCAAGUCUAAAUUGUGACUCGAAUCUGACUUGAUUCUGUGUCACGUGACUUGAGUCCACAUCUCUGAAAGCUACUCCAGACGAGCUACAAGUUGCUGUUCGGUAUUCAGCUGUAGGUUUGCUAGCUCCGCAGGUAGCCUGACUUAAAAAAAAAAAAAUACUUAAUAUACUUCUGUUCACGCAUGUUUACUUAAAACCUAAAUUAAAUGGAGCUAUAUUCUAAAGUUUUCCUUUAGGCUAUUUCCCAGAGUCAAAAUUACAAUAAAUAAAUAGAUACUAUCUUAAUCAGCAAAAAUAUGACUGUAAUUAUCAAUUUGCCAAAAAUAUUUUAGAGGCAGUAGGAAUAAGUGUUGCUAUUCUGUUUUAAAUGAAACAGUAAACACAGUAACGGUGUGAUACCAGGAACCGAAUCACAGAGACACAAUCUCUGUCUUCCACAGGUAAGGGAACCAUAACUCUUAACUUCACCGAACCUCACUUGAAAAGAUCUAAGCCGUCCAUUUAAUAUCAACAGGCAUGCUGUCAAAUAAACAAAAUGUUCUCCUCUCCCAUGAACAGAAUGUGUUUGGGUGUCCGUCAGCAUUCAGACGCCACCUCUAGCUUCCACUCUGGGAUUAAGUGUUUUGCAGCUCAACACAGUCACCGUCUGUGUAAUGUGUGUGAUCAGUGUGUCUGCGGAGGAUAAGAAUAAGCAGUAGGCGUGUGGUUUUUUUUUUCCUCUCUCUCUCCAUCUUUAUUUCUCCAUUUCUCUCUCUCCUUCCCUUUUUCUUUCUCUCCUCACGGUGGAGACACCACGGUGCCAUCUGCUUUGCAUUUGUUUAACAAAGAUUUAUUGUGAAGCAAGACACUAAUCCAAAACACACACGCUCACACACAUAUCUCGCCUUCUUCUCGUCACAGGCCGCGAAGAGAGGAGAAAAAAAAAUAAGGAGAAGAAGAAGUAGUGAGGGAUGUGGGAUUGGAAACGCUUGGCGCUCUCUUUGUCAACUCUCACUCUGACGGGGAGGAGAGAGAACCGGCUGGCACACAGAGGUACAAUUGCUGCCUCAACAUGCUACGAAGCGGUUCACCAGUUAUCUGUGCUCAGCUCCUUGACCACAGAGUCAUCUUUGUAUUUCUGGAGAUGACUGCAGGCUGACUUGUGCUGGAAGUCUGAGAUGUACAGAGUGAAAAGAAAGGAAGGAGAGGACCUGUCCACUCCUAGCCGGAGAGAAAUGGGCCUCUCGGACAUUACCACCUCUUCCCAGGGGAGACAUAAAUGAGAUGGAAGCGAUAGGGGGAGACUGCAAGAAGAAGAAAGCGGGCCAGGACAGUCUAAACACAGAGGGAGGGAGGAAAGGAGCCAUUGAGUGGACUGUUGGGUAGUGGCAGUUCUUGAUUUGGGCUAUACUGGCUCAACGCCCAGGGCAACACAUUUGAAGAGGAAUGGAUGCCCCCACGGUUCUGCAACUGUAGAUUCUGUAAAAAAAUAUGGCAGACCUCCUCGGUUACCUAUUGGCUCUGAAGCUUAAAGGUGUUUUUUUUGUUUGUUUUUUUUUUUUUUUACAACUUUUUAGACAAUAUCUGAAAAUCUCCAAUUCAAAAUUGAAAUUAUUUGAACAGCUCAAAGCUGAACUGUAAAUUGAAAUGAGAUUACUUAAAGGGACAGUAUUUUUGUAAAAUGUAAUUUUUUGAGCUGUACAUCAUGUUCUAAUGGUACUCCCUCAUAGAUAACACCUUGAUUCUUUCAAGCAUCUUUGAGAAAUACUUUCAGUGGUAACUACUCAGCUAUGCAAAAUGUCUGGAUGAAAUUAGCUCCACUUUCAAGAUGAAGCUCCUACUUGAAGCUGCAGUUUCCAAGCUUCCGCCUCACAGAGCAGCGCUGCCCGGUGACUCACCCACUCAGCUCCUUUAGACU
Long non-coding RNA from Poecilia latipinna (sailfin molly), 5211 nucleotides. RefSeq lists it as uncharacterized. The transcript has 3 exons. NCBI's taxonomy places the organism in Eukaryota, Metazoa, Chordata, Actinopteri, Cyprinodontiformes, Poeciliidae. The record is from RefSeq and is a predicted model, not a curated record.